GCCCGCCUAGCUCAAUCGGAUAGAGCGUCAGACUCUUAUCACAGAGGCGGGAUCUGAAGGCUGCGAGUUCGACCCUCGCGGUGGGCU
Non-coding RNA from Pholiota conissans, 87 nucleotides. The record is from the annotation of a GenBank genome assembly. NCBI's taxonomy places the organism in Eukaryota, Fungi, Basidiomycota, Agaricomycetes, Agaricales, Strophariaceae.